Molecule: long non-coding RNA, 498 nt
Filed under: Nicotiana benthamiana
Lineage: Eukaryota; Viridiplantae; Streptophyta; Magnoliopsida; Solanales; Solanaceae
Description: long non-coding RNA (NBEN_LNC033944)
Source: RNAcentral
AUCCAUAUAACAUCGGAGUAGAGAGAUAUUUGCAGUUUCGCAAGGCUGCGUAGACGGCAUAAGUGACAAGUAGGUGUGUCACUCAAACUUUUUAAGAAAUAAACUUUAUCUGUUAUAUGAGUUAUUUUGGGAUAUAUUAUAUAUCAAAUUGAAGUCUUGGAAUGUAGUCUUUGACACUCUUAACCAUUUGUUCAUACGAUAUUUGGAUAAAAAGAUAUAACCGUCGAAAGAAAGGCUAAUGCUAGGGUGCCAAGCUAGCACCUCUUUGGUUUUUCAAAAGUAAGUAUAUGUGUGUGUGUGCAUAUAUAUAUAUAUCCCUUAUGUCAUCUAUUUCUUUAUUUUUUCACAUACCAAGACCAAAAUAAGACCAUAAAAUUACCCUUAAGCUUUCUACAAGGGUUUCAAAUAAGAUUAACACCCCGCGUACACAUUAGAACAAUCCAUAAAACGUAAGUAUCGCUAUAUCGCUUCUCGUUUUCUUUGUAUUUUGAGUUUUGG